RNAcentral lists this ribosomal RNA (425 nucleotides) under uncultured bacterium. RNAcentral describes it as "partial 16S ribosomal RNA". It matches the Rfam family "Bacterial small subunit ribosomal RNA", at positions 354 to 796 of the family's 1533-position model. The record is from RNAcentral.
GUGGGGAAUCUUGCGCAAUGGGCGAAAGCCUGACGCAGCCAUGCCGCGUGAAUGAUGAAGGUCUUAGGAUUGUAAAAUUCUUUCACCGGGGACGAUAAUGACGGUACCCGGAGAAGAAGCCCCGGCUAACUUCGUGCCAGCAGCCGCGGUAAUACGAAGGGGGCUAGCGUUGCUCGGAAUUACUGGGCGUAAAGGGCGCGUAGGCGGACAGUUUAGUCAGAGGUGAAAGCCCAGGGCUCAACCUUGGAAUUGCCUUUGAUACUGGAUGUCUUGAGUACGGGAGAGGUGAGUGGAACUCCGAGUGUAGAGGUGAAAUUCGUAGAUAUUCGGAAGAACACCAGUGGCGAAGGCGACUCACUGGCCCGUUACUGACGCUGAGGCGCGAAAGCGUGGGGAGCAAACAGGAUUAGAAACCCGAGUAGUCC